UACGAAGGGUGCUAGCGUUGUUCGGAAUUACUGGGCGUAAAGCGCGCGUAGGCGGCUUUUCAAGUCAGGGGUGAAAUCCUGGGGCUCAACCCUAGAAUUGCCUUUGAAACUGUAAAGCUUGAGUGUCGGAGGGGAUAGCGGAAUUCCUAAUGUAGAGGUGAAAUUCGUAGAUAUUAGGAGGAACACCGGUGGCGAAGGCGGCUAUCUGGACGGUGACUGACGCUGAGACGCGAAAGCGUGGGGAGCAAACAGG
Molecule: ribosomal RNA, 253 nt
Filed under: uncultured bacterium
Lineage: Bacteria
Description: partial 16S ribosomal RNA
Rfam family: Bacterial small subunit ribosomal RNA
Source: RNAcentral